This 782-nucleotide ribosomal RNA is filed under the name uncultured bacterium. RNAcentral's name for it is "bacterial SSU rRNA". It matches the Rfam family "Bacterial small subunit ribosomal RNA", at positions 558 to 1338 of the family's 1533-position model. The record is from RNAcentral.
GCGUAAAGAGCUCGUAGGCGGUUUGUCACGUCUGCUGUGAAAGCCCGAGGCUCAACCUCGGGUGUGCAGUGGGUACGGGCAGACUAGAGUGCAGUAGGGGAGACUGGAAUUCCUGGUGUAGCGGUGAAAUGCGCAGAUAUCAGGAGGAACACCGAUGGCGAAGGCAGGUCUCUGGGCUGUUACUGACGCUGAGGAGCGAAAGCAUGGGGAGCGAACAGGAUUAGAUACCCUGGUAGUCCAUGCCGUAAACGUUGGGCACUAGGUGUGGGGGACAUUCCACGUUUUCCGCGCCGUAGCUAACGCAUUAAGUGCCCCGCCUGGGGAGUACGGCCGCAAGGCUAAAACUCAAAGGAAUUGACGGGGGCCCGCACAAGCGGCGGAGCAUGCGGAUUAAUUCGAUGCAACGCGAAGAACCUUACCAAGGCUUGACAUGGACCGGAUCGCUGCAGAGAUGCAGUUUCCCUUCGGAGUCGGUUCACAGGUGGUGCAUGGUUGUCGUCAGCUCGUGUCGUGAGAUGUUGGGUUAAGUCCCGCAACGAGCGCAACCCCUAUCCUAUGUUGCCAGCACGUGAUGGUGGGGACUCAUGGGAGACUGCCGGGGUCACCUCGGAGGAAGGUGGGGACGACGUCAAAUCAUCAUGCCCCUUAUGUCUUGGGCUUCACGCAUGCUACAAUGGCCGGUACAAUGGGUUGCGAUACUGUGAGGUGGAGCUAAUCCCUAAAAGCCGGUCUCAGUUCGGAUCGAAGUCUGCAACUCGACUUCGUGAAGUUGGAGUCGCUAG